Molecule: long non-coding RNA, 620 nt
Organism: Haliotis rubra (blacklip abalone)
Lineage: Eukaryota; Metazoa; Mollusca; Gastropoda; Lepetellida; Haliotidae
Exons: 4
Source: RefSeq, a predicted model, not a curated record
AAUUGUGUUGAGUUUCUUAUAUAGCAUAUAGUAUAAACGGGUGCCACAGAUUAGGGCUACUUUCAAAACAACUCCUGAGAUCAAGAGACAAAAUGGCGGCAAUAUUGAGGGUUACGAACGGGAAUAGGGGCAUUGUGGGUAAUAACAAAUACGUAAUCCUUUUUCGAUUGGCAGGUAUGAAAACAUUAUCUAGACCCAAUUUGGUUGUGAUUUCAAGACAAAAGUUGAAAAUGACCACUUUGGCACAUAAAUCGUUGUUUUGAUGAAAUCUCACGAGUUCGCGUGCCCACCGACUCAUUAUUUCCGGUUUCGUCUGUCAACACAUGGUUUCGUCUGUCAACACAUGAUCAGGGUGAAUAAAGUUUACUGUGAGCACUGAAAUCAAUAUGUCUCACGUAAAACAGCAUACAAUCACAAGAGAUGGCUUACUAACAAUGAUAAAGCAAGUGCCCCAUCCUUGAUUGACCAACACAAAGAGGAGGUUCCAGAUCUGGUGUUCUGUCCAACCAUGUUGUUCAACAAUGAAUUUUACACCUCGGAAGGAUAUGGGCAGUGCAGCACCCCUGACAUUAUCAUGGACUGAUGACAGAUCCAACAUAUCAGCAUCAAGUUACCGCCCA